CAUCCGCUCAAAAAAAAUAAAACCCACCCCGCGAUCUCUCUGCCCUCUCUUCCUUAUCUCUUCCUCUCCCGAUCUGAGCGGCGGCGGCGGCGACGCUCGCAUCCGGCAACGCUUCCACCCCUCUGCCCACCUCUUCCUCCCACCACUCCAUCACCAUCCCCACAUCGCUGCUGAUUUCCCAUGCGGAGGUGGUCCUGUGGCGCCGAUGCCCUUAGCCAGCUGCCGGCGGCGGCACUUUUUGUUCGUGCCCAAGCGCCCGGUGAGGCCACCUCUCACCUCCCUCCUAUGGUGCCACCGCCCCCAACCCAUACGCAGCUUCCUCUUCCCCGCUCCCAUGGUAGCAGAUCUGAGUGGUACAAGGUCCCUUCGGUCCUGGUGGUUCGGAAUGAGGCGGGCGGCCUCUGCUCCCUUAUCUUCUGGCGGGUGGCUGGUGCCCCAAUCUCUCUUAGCCAUCUAUGGCGGCAACGACAUCAGGAAGCUCUCUCUUUCUCUCUCUAGUUAGUACUAGUUUGCCGGAAGAGAAGAGAUGUCUAUGUAUGGUGAUGAUGAGUCCAUGUUGUUGUAUCCCUAAUUCACUCUGUGGUGGUCCAGAUUAUAUGCUUGAGAAGAUCGACAGCGUCGACAAGAGCAUCGGCUGGUAUCUCUGCAUCCUCUUCUACAACCAUUUAAGCAUAACAGUGGCUGGGCUGCAGCCCAACUAAUAAAGAGAGGAUCAGAAUGUUACUUCACCUGCGACUUGAUUUUGAAUGCCGACCACUACAAUGAAAGCAACUCAGGAGCUUGCUCUUGGAUCAAUGGGCUUGGAGAAUGAGUUUGCAAAUGUUGUAAUGCAUCAGCUUGAAGUCAGGGUUUAAUGAUAGAUAUACGCCCAAAUAGUCCAAUCCUAGGGGUUCUUUUGAGCUCCUAGAUCCAAUAUAUUCUGCCCUUGAAGUUUUUGUGGUUAUGCUGACGCCAACAUGAUUAUUUUGGCUGAACGCGGAACCUGAAGUCUACAUGCCUUGAUACAUUUCAUUUUGAUGGCAUCUACCGAAGCUAUCGCUCAACCGGCGGAUCUAGCGCGGGUGUCCGCCGCCUCCUUUUAUCAACACGUGGCCUACCUCCGACGUGCUCGCAGUGAAUGAUGGUGGUGUUUUUGUUUUGCAACAUCUACUCUGUUGCAAGAAAUAUUUCUGCAACAUCAGUUAUGUUACAUAAGUUUCUUCCAUAACACCAUAUAGAGGUGAAGACAGAGAAAAAAAAAUUCUGCAACAUCAUCUUAGUUGCAAAGUUUUUCUGCAACAUUACCUUUGUUGCAAAAAAAAGUGAAGAUGGAAAAAAAUUUGCAACA
Triticum aestivum (bread wheat) is the source of this 1327-nucleotide long non-coding RNA. RefSeq lists it as uncharacterized. The record is from RefSeq and is a predicted model, not a curated record. The transcript is spliced from 3 exons. Lineage: Eukaryota; Viridiplantae; Streptophyta; Magnoliopsida; Poales; Poaceae.